AGAGUUUGAUCCUGGCUCAGAGCGAACGCUGGCGGCAGGCUUAACACAUGCAAGUCGAGCGGGCGUAGCAAUACGUCAGCGGCAGACGGGUGAGUAACGCGUGGGAACGUACCUUUUGGUUCGGAACAACACAGGGAAACUUGUGCUAAUACCGGAUAAGCCCUUACGGGGAAAGAUUUAUCGCCGAAAGAUCGGCCCGCGUCUGAUUAGCUAGUUGGUGAGGUAACGGCUCACCAAGGCGACGAUCAGUAGCUGGUCUGAGAGGAUGAUCAGCCACAUUGGGACUGAGACACGGCCCAAACUCCUACGGGAGGCAGCAGUGGGGAAUAUUGGACAAUGGGCGCAAGCCUGAUCCAGCCAUGCCGCGUGAGUGAUGAAGGCCCUAGGGUUGUAAAGCUCUUUUGUGCGGGAAGAUAAGGACGGUACCGCAAGAAUAAGCCCCGGCUAACUUCGUGCCAGCAGCCGCGGUAAUACGAAGGGGGCUAGCGUUGCUCGGAAUCACUGGGCGUAAAGGGUGCGUAGGCGGGUCUUUAAGUCAGGGGUGAAAUCCUGGAGCUCAACUCCAGAACUGCCUUUGAUACUGAAGAUCUUGAGUUCGGGAGAGGUGAGUGGAACUGCGAGUGUAGAGGUGAAAUUCGUAGAUAUUCGCAAGAACACCAGUGGCGAAGGCGGCUCACUGGCCCGAUACUGACGCUGAGGCACGAAAGCGUGGGAGCAAACAGGAUUAGAUACCCUGGUAGUCCACGCCGUAAACGAUGAAUGCCAGCCGUUAGUGGGUUUACUCACUAGUGGCGCAGCUA
This 800-nucleotide ribosomal RNA is filed under the name uncultured bacterium. Its description in RNAcentral is "bacterial SSU rRNA". It matches the Rfam family "Bacterial small subunit ribosomal RNA", at positions 8 to 854 of the family's 1533-position model. The record is from RNAcentral.